AUUGAACGCUGGCGGCAGGCCCAACACAUGCAAGUCGAGCGGAGCGGCGGACGGGUGCGUAAUACCUAGGAAUCUGCCUGGUAGUGGGGGAUACCGUUCGGAAACGGACGCUAAUACCUCAUACUAUAAGAUGAGCCCAGGUCGGAUUAGCUAGUUGGUGAGGUAAUGGCUCACUAACGCUACGAUCCGUAACUGGUCUGAGAGGAUGAUCAGUCACACGGGAACUGAGACACGGUCCAGACACCUACGGGAGGCAGAAGGGGGGAAUAAUGGACAAUGGGCGGAAGCCUGAUGCAGCGACGCAGGGUGGGGGAUGAAAGCGUUCGGGUUGUAAACUCCUUUCAACAGGGAAGCGGUACCUGUAUAAGAAGCACCGGCUAACUACGUGCCAGCAGCCGGGGUAAUAC
This 407-nucleotide ribosomal RNA is filed under the name uncultured bacterium. Its description in RNAcentral is "partial 16S ribosomal RNA". It matches the Rfam family "Bacterial small subunit ribosomal RNA", at positions 30 to 526 of the family's 1533-position model. The record is from RNAcentral.